UCGUACAAUGGAGAUGCCCAGGGCUGUCGCUGACUUUCACAGGUCGUGCACGCCCAAAGGUGCUCUCUUAUGUCCAUCUCACCCCUUUGUGCAUCACCGCGUGUGCCCCCCUAUUGGGCUCGUUCCGAAAAGGGGGCGUUUGCGUUUUUAUACAAACCACUGCAUGUGUAGAAUGUCUUACUAUUUGCGAUAAUGCGCAAUCAAUA
This 206-nucleotide unclassified non-coding RNA is filed under the name uncultured Russula. RNAcentral's name for it is "sequence contains ITS1". The record is from RNAcentral. Lineage: Eukaryota; Fungi; Basidiomycota; Agaricomycetes; Russulales; Russulaceae.